RNAcentral lists this ribosomal RNA (433 nucleotides) under uncultured bacterium. RNAcentral describes it as "partial 16S ribosomal RNA". It matches the Rfam family "Bacterial small subunit ribosomal RNA", at positions 29 to 507 of the family's 1533-position model. The record is from RNAcentral.
AACGAACGCUGGCGGCAUGCCUAACACAUGCAAGUCGAACGAGACCUUCGGGUCUAGUGGCGCACGGGUGCGUAACGCGUGGGAACCUGCCCUUAGGCUCGGAAUAACUCUCCGAAAGGGGUGCUAAUACCGGAUAAUGUCUUCGGACCAAAGAUUUAUCGCCUUUGGAUGGGCCCGCGUUGGUUUAGCUAGUUGGUAGGGUAAAAGCCUACCAAGGCGACGAUCCAUAGCUGGUCUGAGAGGAUGAUCAGCCACACUGGGACUGAGACACGGCCCAGACUCCUACGGGAGGCAGCAGUGGGGAAUAUUGGACAAUGGGCGAAAGCCUGAUCCAGCAAUGCCGCGUGAGUGAUGAAGGCCUUAGGGUUGUAAAGCUCUUUUACCCGGGAUGAUAAUGACAGUACCGGGAGAAUAAGCACCGGCUAACUCCGUG